Molecule: ribosomal RNA, 364 nt
Filed under: uncultured bacterium
Lineage: Bacteria
Description: partial 16S ribosomal RNA
Rfam family: Bacterial small subunit ribosomal RNA
Source: RNAcentral
CCUACGGGAGGCAGCAGUGAGGAAUAUUGGUCAAUGGGCGCGAGCCUGAACCAGCCAAGUAGCGUGAAGGAUGACUGCCCUACGGGUUGUAAACUUCUUUUAUAAAGGAAUAAAGUGAGGCACGUGUGCCUUUUUGUAUGUACUUUAUGAAUAAGGAUCGGCUAACUCCGUGCCAGCAGCCGCGGUAAUACGGGGGAUCCGAGCGUUAUCCGGAUUUAUUGGGUUUAAGGGGUGCGUAGAUGGGUGGUUAAGUCAGGGGUGAAAGUUUGCGGCUCAACCGUAGAAUUGCAAUUGAUACUGGCAGCCUGGAGUACAGGUGAGGUGGGCGGAAUUCGUGGUGUAGCGGUGAAAUGCUUAGAUAUCA